GACGAACGCUGGCGGCGUGCUUAACACAUGCAAGUCGUGCGGUAAGGCCCUUUCGGGGGUACACGAGCGGCGAACGGGUGAGUAACACGUGGGCAACCUGCCCUUCACUUUGGGAUAACUGCCGGAAACGGUGGCUAAUACCGGAUAUGACUUCCUCACGCAUGUGGGGUGGUGGAAAGCCUUCGGGUGGUGGGGGAUGGGCUCGCGGUCUAUCAGCUUGUUGGUGGGGUGAUGGCCUACCAAGGCUUCGACGGGUAGCCGGCCUGAGAGGGUGACCGGCCACAAUGGGACUGAGACACGGCCCAGACGCCUACGGGAGGCAGCAGUGGGGAAUAUUGGACAAUGGGCGAAAGCCUGAUCCAGCAACGCCGCGUGAGGGAUGACGGCCUUCGGGUUGUAAACCUCUUUCGCCUGCGACGAAGCGAGAGUGACGGUAGCAGGUAAAGAAGCACCGGCCAACUACGUG
Molecule: ribosomal RNA, 466 nt
Filed under: uncultured bacterium
Lineage: Bacteria
Description: partial 16S ribosomal RNA
Rfam family: Bacterial small subunit ribosomal RNA
Source: RNAcentral